GGUGAGGAGUGACCAGGUAAGGGAGUAAGUGUGUGGGAUGACCAGGUAAGGGAAUGUGUGUGUGGGAUGACUACUAGCAGGUAUGGAGUGACCAGGUAAGAGUGUUGCGUGCCCAGUGGCGCAUGUGUAGAGAGCAGUUAAGCGAUGGUGGCGAUCAGGGGUGGCAUAAGCAGAUCAGGGCAGAUCUGGGGUGGCAUAAGCAGAUCA
Molecule: long non-coding RNA, 207 nt
Organism: Alosa sapidissima (American shad)
Lineage: Eukaryota; Metazoa; Chordata; Actinopteri; Clupeiformes; Clupeidae
Exons: 3
Source: RefSeq, a predicted model, not a curated record